UACGUAGGGUGCAAGCGUUGUCCGGAAUUAUUGGGCGUAAAGGGCUCGUAGGCGGUCUGUCACGUCGGGAGUGAAAACUCGGGGCUUAACCCCGAGCCUGCUUCCGAUACGGGCAGACUAGAGGUAUGCAGGGGAGAAUGGAAUUCCUGGUGUAGCGGUGAAAUGCGCAGAUAUCAGGAGGAACACCGGUGGCGAAAGCGGUUCUCUGGGCAUUACCUGACGCUGAGGAGCGAAAGUGUGGGGAGCGAACAGG
Molecule: ribosomal RNA, 253 nt
Filed under: uncultured bacterium
Lineage: Bacteria
Description: partial 16S ribosomal RNA
Rfam family: Bacterial small subunit ribosomal RNA
Source: RNAcentral